AUCACCUGGCAUCUUGUUGAAAUACAGAUUCUGAUUUAAUAGGUCUGGAGUGGGGCCCAAGGUUCUGCAUUUCUAACAAGUGCCCGAGUGAUGCCCU
MicroRNA precursor from Camelus ferus (Wild Bactrian camel), 97 nucleotides. It matches the Rfam family "mir-544 microRNA precursor family". Lineage: Eukaryota; Metazoa; Chordata; Mammalia; Artiodactyla; Camelidae. The record is from Rfam.